UUCCUGGUGGUCUAGUGGUUAAGACUUGGUGCUUUCAUUGCUGUGGCCCACGUUCAAUUCCUGGUCUGGGAA
RNAcentral lists this transfer RNA (72 nucleotides) under Sus scrofa (pig). It matches the Rfam family "tRNA". From Rfam's summary of the family: Transfer RNA (tRNA) molecules are approximately 80 nucleotides in length. Their secondary structure includes four short double-helical elements and three loops (D, anti-codon, and T loops). The record is from Rfam by way of RNAcentral. Lineage: Eukaryota; Metazoa; Chordata; Mammalia; Artiodactyla; Suidae.